RNAcentral lists this ribosomal RNA (497 nucleotides) under uncultured bacterium. Its description in RNAcentral is "partial 16S ribosomal RNA". It matches the Rfam family "Bacterial small subunit ribosomal RNA", at positions 28 to 507 of the family's 1533-position model. The record is from RNAcentral.
GACGAACGCUGGCGGCGUGCCUAAUACAUGCAAGUAGAACGCUGAAGCUUGGUGCUUGCACCGAGCGGAUGAGUUGCGAACGGGUGAGUAACGCGUAGGUAACCUGCCUGGUAGCGGGGGAUAACUAUUGGAAACGAUAGCUAAUACCGCAUAACAGUAGAUAUCGCAUGAUAGCUACUUGAAAGGUGCAAAUGCACCACUACCAGAUGGACCUGCGUUGUAUUAGCUAGUUGGUGAGGUAACGGCUCACCAAGGCAACGAUACAUAGCCGACCUGAAAGGGUGAUCGGCCACACUGGGAAUGAGACACGGCCCAGACUCCUACGGGAGGCAGCAGUAGGGAAUCUUCGGCAAUGGACGGAAGUCUGACCGAGCAACGCCGCGUGAGUGAAGAAGGUUUUCGGAUCGUAAAGCUCUGUUGUAAGAGAAGAACGAGUGUGAGAGUGGAAAGUUCACACUGCGACGGUAUCUUACCAGAAAGGGACGGCUAACUACGUG